RNAcentral lists this ribosomal RNA (433 nucleotides) under uncultured bacterium. RNAcentral describes it as "partial 16S ribosomal RNA". It matches the Rfam family "Bacterial small subunit ribosomal RNA", at positions 29 to 507 of the family's 1533-position model. The record is from RNAcentral.
AACGAACGCUGGCGGCAUGCCUAACACAUGCAAGUCGAACGAGACCUUCGGGUCUAGUGGCGCACGGGUGCGUAACGCGUGGGAAUCUGCCCUUGGGUUCGGAAUAACAGUUGGAAACGACUGCUAAUACCGGAUGAUGACGUAAGUCCAAAGAUUUAUCGCCCAGGGAUGAGCCCGCGUAGGAUUAGCUAGUUGGUGGGGUAAAGGCCUACCAAGGCGACGAUCCUUAGCUGGUCUGAGAGGAUGAUCAGCCACACUGGGACUGAGACACGGCCCAGACUCCUACGGGAAGCAGCAGUGGGGAAUAUUGGACAAUGGGCGAAAGCCUGAUCCAGCAAUGCCGCGUGAGUGAUGAAGGCCUUAGGGUUGUAAAGCUCUUUUACCAGGGAUGAUAAUGACAGUACCGGGAGAAUAAGCCCCGGCUAACUCCGUG